Molecule: ribosomal RNA, 849 nt
Filed under: uncultured bacterium
Lineage: Bacteria
Description: bacterial SSU rRNA
Rfam family: Bacterial small subunit ribosomal RNA
Source: RNAcentral
UUAGAGUUUGAUCCUGGCUCAGGAUGAACGCUAGCGGCAGGCUUAACACAUGCAAGUCGAGGGGCAGCGAGAUCAGUGCUUGCACUGAUUGUCGGCGACCGGCGCACGGGUGCGUAACGCGUAUGCAACCUACCCAUUACAGGGGGAUAACACUGAGAAAUCGGUACUAAUACCCCAUAACAUCCAGGGAGGCAUCUUCUUGGGUUGAAAACUCCGGUGGUAAUGGAUGGGCAUGCGUUGUAUUAGUUAGUUGGUGGGGUAACGGCUCACCAAGACAACGAUACAUAGGGGGACUGAGAGGUUAACCCCCCACAUUGGUACUGAGACACGGACCAAACUCCUACGGGAGGCAGCAGUGAGGAAUAUUGGUCAAUGGACGCAAGUCUGAACCAGCCAUGCCGCGUGCAGGAAGACGGCUCUAUGAGUUGUAAACUGCUUUUGUACGAGGGUAAACGCAGAUACGCGUAUCUGUCUGAAAGUAUCGUACGAAUAAGGAUCGGCUAACUCCGUGCCAGCAGCCGCGGUAAUACGGAGGAUUCAAGCGUUAUCCGGAUUUAUUGGGUUUAAAGGGUGCGUAGGCGGUCGGAUAAGUUAGAGGUGAAAUCCCGGGGCUCAACUUCGGAAUUGCCUCUGAUACUGUUCGGCUAGAGAGUAGUUGCGGUAGGCGGAAUGUAUGGUGUAGCGGUGAAAUGCUUAGAGAUCAUACAGAACACCGAUUGCGAAGGCAGCUUACCAAGCUACUUCUGACGUUGAGGCACGAAAGCGUGGGGAGCAAACAGGAUUAGAUACCCUGGUAGUCCACGCAGUAAACGAUGAAAACUCCGUGUCGGCGAAACCAUGUCGGUGACU